This is an RNA transcript of Solanum pennellii, 1218 nucleotides long. It is a transcript of the gene named HVA22-like protein k, with no coding region annotated. The record is from RefSeq and is a predicted model, not a curated record. The transcript has 8 exons. Lineage: Eukaryota; Viridiplantae; Streptophyta; Magnoliopsida; Solanales; Solanaceae.
AUUUUUACAAAUUGAAGAGGUGGAUAUGUAAAUCACAAAAAAAAGUCAAUAGGUUGCCGUAUUAAACUCAACUUUCCGACGAUCGCCGGAACUCGCUCCUCUCUCCGGGAAUGGCAGGAAUGGCUAUGUUUGCCUCUAAUCUCUCCAGCGAGAUGGGGUUAAAAUUGCUUCUUAGCCCGCUUAAUACUAAUGUUAUUGUCCGCACUGCAUGGCAUCCUACAACUGUUGCUUGGGAUGAGCCAAAUGCAAAAGUUCCAGUGCCGUUUCACGAGCCUGAAGAAGUUUUGUUUCUAAUAGACAUUCUGAACUCUAAUUGUUUAGUCGCUUCUAUUAUUUGGAAAAUUGAAGAUUCUAAUUGAACUUAAAAGGUAUUUGCAGCUGUUCUGUAGGGAUUGUUUUGCCUGUUUAUUCUACCUUUAAAGCAAUUGAGACGGGGAAUCGAAAUGAGCAACAUAAAUGGCUUCUGUACUGGGCAGCAUAUGGAUCUUUCAGUAUUGUUGAAGCAUUCACGGAUAAAUUUCUCUACUGGUUCCCACUAUACUAUCAUGUGAAGCUCGCAUUUCUUGUUUGGCUUCAACUUCCAUCUGCUGAGGGUGCAAAGCAAUUGUACACGAACCAUCUGCGCCCUUUCCUCAUGAAACACCAAGCAAGACUGGAUCAUAUUUUGGAGUUAUUUCAUGGAGAAUUGGGUAAAUUUAUUAGUACUCACCAAGCAGAAAUUCAGUUUGCAAAGGUGCUUCUUGGCAAAACCUUACUAUCAGUUGGAAAUAUUCUUCAACAACCUGCGCAAGGACGAGUUGUUGGUACAAUUGAAGGGCCAGCAGAGCAAGUAGAGACUUCAGAAUCUGAAGAUGAAUCGUGAUGCCCUCUUCAAAAUCAGCUAAUAAGUACCGUCUCUCUAUUGUACUUCAAAUCAACUUAGUUUAGCUUUCGUUCAAGAUAGGAGUGAUCAGUGUAUACAUAAUUUUCUAAGGAGUCAAUUUUGUUAUGGUUUGAGAGUUUCCUUCUCCGUUUUCCUGUAAAUAUAUCAACAGAAACUGCUGAUUUCCUUCAAUCUCUUAGGGUGUUACAAGAUUUCACAUUGUUUUUAACCAUUUUAGCAGACUUUGUGCAGUUAUUUCUUUGUAUGCAACUAUGCAUUGUGAAAUAGUACUUAUUUACUGGGAGUGAAGUUGUACUGACUAUCCUACUUAUUCAGACACAAUAUUUGAAGCAUAA